RNAcentral lists this ribosomal RNA (482 nucleotides) under uncultured bacterium. Its description in RNAcentral is "bacterial SSU rRNA". It matches the Rfam family "Bacterial small subunit ribosomal RNA", at positions 30 to 507 of the family's 1533-position model. The record is from RNAcentral.
AUUGAACGCUGGCGGCAUGCCUUACACAUGCAAGUCGAACGGUAACAGGAGCUUGCUCCGCUGACGAGUGGGAACGGGUGAGUAAUGUAUCGGAACGUACCAUUCAGUGGGGGAUAACGUAGCGAAAGUUACGCUAAUACCGCAUAUUCUGUGAGCAGGAAAGCAGGGGAUCGCAAGACCUUGCGCUGAUUGAGCGGCCGAUAUCAGAUUAGCUAGUUGGUGAGGUAAAGGCUCACCAAGGCGACGAUCUGUAGCGGGUCUGAGAGGAUGAUCCGCCACACUGGAACUGAGACACGGUCCAGACUCCUACGGGAGGCAGCAGUGGGGAAUUUUGGACAAUGGGGGCAACCCUGAUCCAGCCAUGCCGCGUGAGUGAAGAAGGCCUUCGGGUUGUAAAGCUCUUUCGGCCGGGAAAAAAUCGCAUCAGUUAAUACCUGGUGUGGAUGAUGGUACCGGAAUAAGAAGCACCGGCUAACUACGUG